UACGUAGGGGGCUAGCGUUGUCCGGAAUCAUUGGGCGUAAAGAGCGUGUAGGCGGUCCGGUAAGUCCGUUGUGAAAGUCAGGGGCUCAACCCUUGAAUGCCGGCGGAUACUGUCGGGCUAGAGUCCGGAAGAGGCGAGUGGAAUUCCCGGUGUAGCGGUGAAAUGCGCAGAUAUCAGGAGGAACACCGGUGGCGAAGGCGGGUCUCUGGGCCGAUACUGACACUGAGGAGCGAAAGCGUGGGGAGCGAACAGG
Molecule: ribosomal RNA, 253 nt
Filed under: uncultured bacterium
Lineage: Bacteria
Description: partial 16S ribosomal RNA
Rfam family: Bacterial small subunit ribosomal RNA
Source: RNAcentral